Molecule: ribosomal RNA, 254 nt
Filed under: uncultured bacterium
Lineage: Bacteria
Description: partial 16S ribosomal RNA
Rfam family: Bacterial small subunit ribosomal RNA
Source: RNAcentral
UACGAAGGGGGCUAGCGUUGCUCGGAAUUACUGGGCGUAAAGGGAGCGUAGGCGGAUAUUUAAGUCGGGGGGUGAAAGCCCAGGGCUCAACCCUGGAAUUGCCUUCGAUACUGGAUAUCUAGAGUAUGGGAGAGGUGUGUGGAACUCCGAGUGUAGAGGUGAAAUUCGUAGAUAUUCGGAAGAACACCAGUGGCGAAGGCGACACACUGGCCCAUUACUGACGCUGAGGCUCGAAAGCGUGGGGAGCAAACAGG